Molecule: ribosomal RNA, 366 nt
Filed under: Stichopathes sp. n. NB-2020
Lineage: Eukaryota; Metazoa; Cnidaria; Anthozoa; Antipatharia; Antipathidae
Description: SSU rRNA
Rfam family: Eukaryotic small subunit ribosomal RNA
Source: RNAcentral
AUGCCCUUAGAUGUUCUGGGCCGCACGCGCGCUACACUGACGAUGUCAACGAGUCUCUCCUUCGCCGGUAGGUGUGGGUAAUCUUGUGAAACAUCGUCGUGCUGGGGAUAGAUCAUUGCAAUUUUUGAUCUUGAACGAGGAAUUCCUAGUAAGCGCGAGUCAUCAGCUCGCGUUGAUUACGUCCCUGCCCUUUGUACACACCGCCCGUCGCUACUACCGAUUGAAUGGUUUAGUGAGGCCUUCUGAUUGGCGCCGCCGCCCCGGCAACGGAGUAGCGGAUGCCGAGAAGUUGGUCAAACUUGAUCAUUUAGAGGAAGUAAAAGUCGUAACAAGGUUUCCGUAGGUGAACCUGCGGAAGGAUCAUUA